AGAUUUUAUUAAUUGAUUACUUCGGUAUGAUUUUUCUAAAAUCGAGUGGCGGACGGGUGAGUAACACGUGGGUAACCUGCCCUUAAGUAAGGGAUAACAUUUGGAAACAGAUGCUAAUACCGUAUAAACCUCAGAAACACAUGUUUCUGAGUUGAAAGGCGGCUUUCGAGCUGUCGCUUUUGGAUGGACCCGCGGCGUAUUAGCUAGUUGGUGAGGUAAAGGCUCACCAAGGCAGUGAUACGUAGCCGACCUGAGAGGGUGAUCGGCCACAUUGGGACUGAGACACGGCCCAAACUCCUACGGGAGGCAGCAGUAGGGAAUCUUCCACAAUGGACGAAAGUCUGAUGGAGCAACGCCGCGUGAGUGAAGAAGGUUUUCGGAUCGUAAAACUCUGUUGUUGGAGAAGAACACGUUUGAGAGUAACUGUUCAGACGUUGACGGUAUCCAACCAGAAAGCCACGGCUAACUACGUGCCAGCAGCCGCGGUAAUACGUAGGUGGCAAGCGUUAUCCGGAUUUAUUGGGCGUAAAGCGAGCGCAGGCGGUUUCUUAAGUCUGAUGUGAAAGCCUUCGGCUUAACCGAAGAAGUGCAUCGGAAACUGGGAAACUUGAGUGCAGAAGAGGACAGUGGAACUCCAUGUGUAGCGGUGAAAUGCGUAGAUAUAUGGAAGAACACCAGUGGCGAAGGCGGCUGUCUGGUCUGUAACUGACGCUGAGGCUCGAAAGCAUGGGUAGCGAACAGGAUUAGAUACCCUGGUAGUCCAUGCCG
RNAcentral lists this ribosomal RNA (768 nucleotides) under uncultured bacterium. RNAcentral's name for it is "bacterial SSU rRNA". It matches the Rfam family "Bacterial small subunit ribosomal RNA", at positions 59 to 802 of the family's 1533-position model. The record is from RNAcentral.